CCGUGAGAGAGAAGGGAGAAGGGAGGAACAAGAAGAAGAAGAGAAAAUAGGGGAAAAUAAGGGAAAAAGAAAAGGAGUUGGAGGAAAUAAGUAAAAAGGGAUAAUCCUGAUAUUCUACCGGCGGGACGUCAGUAGGAUUUUCUUCGAUAUCAGCUUUGAGUUUUGUUGCUUUCGAGUCAGGCUUAUAGCUUGAUAGCAGGUCAUUUUGUUGGACCUUCAGAACCUGCUUUUUUAUUGUACUUUGUACCUUUCCUUUAUGUCUAGUUAGUGCUUCAAAACU
This is a long non-coding RNA of Populus nigra (black poplar), 280 nucleotides long. RefSeq lists it as uncharacterized. The record is from RefSeq and is a predicted model, not a curated record. The transcript has 3 exons. NCBI's taxonomy places the organism in Eukaryota, Viridiplantae, Streptophyta, Magnoliopsida, Malpighiales, Salicaceae.